This 473-nucleotide ribosomal RNA is filed under the name uncultured Arcobacter sp. RNAcentral's name for it is "bacterial SSU rRNA". It matches the Rfam family "Bacterial small subunit ribosomal RNA", at positions 916 to 1381 of the family's 1533-position model. Lineage: Bacteria; Pseudomonadati; Campylobacterota; Epsilonproteobacteria; Campylobacterales; Arcobacteraceae. The record is from RNAcentral.
GACGGGACCCGGCACAAGCGGUGGAGCAUGUGGUUUAAUUCGACGAUACGCGAACGAACUUACCUGGCCUGACAUACUAAAAGACUUAAGAGAUUAGAGUGUGCUAGCUUGCUAGAAUUUAAGAUACAGGUGCUGCACGGCUGUCGUCAGCUCGUGUCGUGAGAUGUUGGGUUAAGUCCCGCAACGAGCGCAACCCUCGUGUUUAGUUGCUAACAGUUCGGCUGAGAACUCUAAACAGACUGCCUACGCAAGUAGGAGGAAGGUGAGGACGACGUCAAGUCAUCAUGGCCCUUACGGCCAGGGCUACACACGUGCUACAAUGGGGUAUACAAAGAGCAGCGAUACGGUGACGUGGAGCAAAUCUAGAAAAAUGCCUCUCAGUUCGGAUUGUAGUCUGCAACUCGACUACAUGAAGUUGGAAUCGCUAGUAAUCGUAGAUCAGCAAUGCUACGGUGAAUACGUUCCCGGGUCUU